AAUAGAUACCCCGGUAGUCCACGCCGUAAACGAUGAGUGCUAAGUGUUAGGGGGUUUCCGCCCCUUAGUGCUGCAGCUAACGCAUUAAGCACUCCGCCUGGGGAGUACGGUCGCAAGACUGAAACUCAAAGGAAUUGACGGGGGCCCGCACAAGCGGUGGAGCAUGUGGUUUAAUUCGAAGCAACGCGAAGAACCUUACCAGGUCUUGACAUCCCGCUGACCGCUAUGGAGACAUAGCUUUCCCUUCGGGGACAGCGGUGACAGGUGGUGCAUGGUUGUCGUCAGCUCGUGUCGUGAGAUGUUGGGUUAAGUCCCGCAACGAGCGCAACCCUUGUCCUUAGUUGCCAUCAUUCAGUUGGGCACUCUAAGGAGACUGCCGUACAAAUACGGAGGAAGGUGGGGAUGACGUCAAAUCAUCAUGCCCCUUAUGACCUGGGCUACACACGUGCUACAAUGGACGGUACAAACGGUUGCGAAGUCGCGAGACGGAGCCAAUCCGAGAAAGCCGUUCUCAGUUCGGAUUGCAGGCUGCAAC
This 535-nucleotide ribosomal RNA is filed under the name uncultured bacterium. RNAcentral's name for it is "bacterial SSU rRNA". It matches the Rfam family "Bacterial small subunit ribosomal RNA", at positions 777 to 1311 of the family's 1533-position model. The record is from RNAcentral.